CCCUGGGUUAUUUUUUUUAUUAUAGUUGCCUUACACUGUUGUGCAUUUUUGUUUUUUAAUAAAGGACAAUCCUCUUUAAAAUGCCAUGACUAGGGGCAGAAAGCUAUUUCAUAAUUUUUAAGAAACCACCUAGCUCCUGAGUGCCACUCCUUCACCUUGCUGUCAGCGACGUGAUGUGCGCUGCACAGUGCUGGAAUUAGGAGUUGGAGAGCGAUCCCGGCCUUGGCCUGCGGUGCUCAGGAGGCCGUGGGCGGUGGCUGAACAGCCAGGGUGCAAUGACUGAAUCCCACCCUCCACAGGAAAAGGACAAAUUCUUCCCUCUGUUAACCUCUCCGUGCCGAAGACCCCAGAGGCAGCUCUCCGUAUCCCAAGACGUGGUCACUCCAAACCCACAGUGAGCGGCUCCUGUGCUCGGCUUUUGCUCCACAAACU
Molecule: long non-coding RNA, 432 nt
Filed under: Bos mutus (wild yak)
Lineage: Eukaryota; Metazoa; Chordata; Mammalia; Artiodactyla; Bovidae
Description: lncRNA (ENSBMUG00000017931.1)
Source: RNAcentral